This 518-nucleotide ribosomal RNA is filed under the name Argyra argentina. RNAcentral's name for it is "partial 16S ribosomal RNA". The stretch from base 394 to 518 matches the Rfam family "Bacterial large subunit ribosomal RNA", at positions 2473 to 2597 of the family's 2925-position model. The record is from RNAcentral. Lineage: Eukaryota; Metazoa; Arthropoda; Insecta; Diptera; Dolichopodidae.
GUCUUUUUGAAUUUAAUUUAAAGUCUAAUCUGCCCACUGAUUGUAUUAAUUAAAUGGCCGCAGUAUUUUAACUGUGCAAAGGUAGCAUAAUCAUUAGUCUUUUAAUUGAGGGCUGGAAUGAAUGAUUGGACGAGAAAUAAUCUGUCUCAUUUAAAUUUUAUUUAAAAUUUUAUUUUUUAGUUAAAAAGCUGAAAUAAAUUUAAAAGACGAGAAGACCCUAUAGAUCUUUAUAAAAAUUAUAUAAUUUAUUUUUUAGAUGAUUUAAGUAAUUAUAUUUAUUUAUAUUUUGUUGGGGUGACAUUGAAAUUUAAAAAACUUUCAAAUAUUAUUUAACAUAUAUUAAUGAUUUUUAUUGAUCCUAUAUUAUGGAUAUAAAAAUUAAGUUACCUUAGGGAUAACAGCGUAAUUAUUUCGUAAAGUUCAUAUUGAUGAAAUAGAUUGCGACCUCAGUGUUGGAUUAAGAUUAAUAAUAGGGGCAGUUUUUUAUUAUAUUAAGUCUGUUCGACUUUUAAAUUCUU